UAGUCCACGCCGUAAACGAUGAUUACUCGUUGUUGGCAAUACAUCGUCAGCGACUGAGCGAAAGCAUUAAGUAAUCCACCUGGGGAGUACGAUCGCAAGAUUGAAACUCAAAGGAAUUGACGGGGGCCCGCACAAGCGGAGGAACAUGUGGUUUAAUUCGAUGAUACGCGAGGAACCUUACCUGGGCUUAAAUGCAGGACGACGGAUCGGGAAACUGAUCUUUCUUCGGACGGACUGCAAGGUGCUGCAUGGCUGUCGUCAGCUCGUGCCGUGAGGUGUCGGGUUAAGUCCCAUAACGAGCGCAACCCUCAUCAUUAGUUGCCAGCGAGUAAUGUCGGGGACUCUAAUGAAACUGCCGGUGUAAACCGAGAGGAAGGUGGGGAUGACGUCAAGUCAGCACGGCCCUUAUGUCCAGGGCUACACACGUGUUACAAUGGGCUGUACAAAGGGUUGCAAAACCGCGAGGUUGAGCUAAUCCCAAAAAGCAGUCCUCAGUUCGGAUUG
This 504-nucleotide ribosomal RNA is filed under the name uncultured bacterium. RNAcentral's name for it is "bacterial SSU rRNA". It matches the Rfam family "Bacterial small subunit ribosomal RNA", at positions 791 to 1300 of the family's 1533-position model. The record is from RNAcentral.